AAGAAUUUGGCGGUGUUUUAUUCUAAUCAGAGGAACUUGCCCCGUUAUCGAUAGUCCUCGUUUUAUCUUACUUGAUUUAUUUAGUAUGUAUACCGCCGUUAUAAGUUUAUUUUUUUAGAAUUUUAUUUACUGAUAAUUUUAUUUUGUUUUAUUUCAGGUCAAGGUGCAGCUUAUAAUUAAGUGGAGGUGAGUUACAUUAUUAUUUGAAUAAAUGGAUUUUUUUUUGAAAAUUUUUAAUGAAGGUGGAUUUGAUUGUAAUUUUAUUUAUUGAUUUAUUUUGAACCUGGCUCUAGGACAAGUACACAUCGCCCGUCGCU
RNAcentral lists this ribosomal RNA (317 nucleotides) under Euobrimus bakeri. RNAcentral describes it as "partial 12S ribosomal RNA". The record is from RNAcentral. Lineage: Eukaryota; Metazoa; Arthropoda; Insecta; Phasmatodea; Heteropterygidae.